CAAAGGCUUGGUCCUGACUUUUCUAUCAGCUUUAACCAAAUUUACACAUGCAAGUCUCCGCACCCCCGUGAGAAUGCCCUAAAUACCCUGCCCGGAAUUAAGGAGCUGGCAUCAGGCACGCUUUAGCAGCCCAAGACGCCUUGCUUAGCCACACCCCCAAGGGAGCUCAGCAGUGAUAAAAAUUAAGCUAUAAGUGAAAACUUGACUUAGUUAAAGUUUAAAGGGCCGGUAAAACUCGUGCCAGCCACCGCGGUUAUACGAGAGGCCCAAGUUGAUAGCCCAACGGCGUAAAGCGUGGUUAGGAAAAACUAAACAACUAGGGCUAAACAUCCCCAGAGCUGUUAUACGCAAACGAGGAUAUGAAAAUCCCCCACAAAAGUGGCCCCAACUAACCCGACCCCACGAAAGCUGCAAAACAAACUGGGAUUAGAUACCCCACUAUGUGCAGCCGUAAACCUUGAUGGAAGCAAUACCCUUCCCAUCCGCCUGGGAACUACGAGCACCAGCUUAAAACCCAAAGGACUUGGCGGUGCUUUAGACCCCCCUAGAGGAGCCUGUUCUAGAACUGAUAACCCCCGUUAAACCUCACCGCCCCUUGUUAACACCGCCUAUAUACCGCCGUCGUCAGCUUACCCUGUGAAGGUAAAACAGUAAGCAAAAUUAGUAAAACUCAAAACGUCAGGUCGAGGUGUAGCGCAUGAGGCGGGAAGAAAUGGGCUACAUUCUCUCUUGAGAGUAUACGAAUGAUGUAUUGAAACAUACACCUAAAGGAGGAUUUAGCAGUAAGUGGCAAAUAGAGCGUCCCACUGAAACUGGCCCUGAAGCGCGCACACACCGCCCGUCACUCUCCCCAAAUUGCCCCUAAACAUUUCAUAAAACUUUUAUUAAAUAAAGGGGAGGCAAGUCGUAACAUGGUAAGCGUACCGGAAGGUGCGCUUGGACAAAC
RNAcentral lists this non-coding RNA (946 nucleotides) under Allocyttus niger (black oreo). Its description in RNAcentral is "12S rRNA". It matches the Rfam family "Bacterial small subunit ribosomal RNA". Lineage: Eukaryota; Metazoa; Chordata; Actinopteri; Zeiformes; Oreosomatidae. The record is from RNAcentral.